UGUAUAAUGGGUCAGCGACUUAUAUUCUGUAGCAAGGUUAACCGAAUAGGGGAGCCGGAGGGAAACCGAGUCUUAAUUGGGCGUUAAGUUGCAGGGUAUAGACCCGAAACCCGGUGAUCUAGCCAUGGGCAGGUUGAAGGUUGGGUAACACUAACUGGAGGACCGAACCGACUAAUGUUGAAAAAUUAGCGGAUGACCUGUGGCUGGGGGUGAAAGGCCAAUCAAACCGGGAGAUAGCUGGUUCUCCCCGAAAGCUAUUUAGGUAGCGCCUCGUGAAUUCAUCUCCGGGGGUAGAGCACUGUUUCGGCUAGGGGGCCAUCCCGGCUUACCAACCCGAUGCAAACUGCGAAUACCGGAGAAUGUUAUCACGGGAGACACACGGCGGGUGCUAACGUCCGUCGUGAAGAGGGAAACAACCCAGACCGCCAGCUAAGGUCCCAAAGUCAUGGUUAAGUGGGAAACGAUGUGGGAAGGCCCAGACAGCCAGGAUGUUGGCUUAGAAGCAGCCAUCAUUUAAAGAAAGCGUAAUAGCUCACUGGUCGAGUCGGCCUGCGCGGAAGAUGUAACGGGGCUAAACCAUG
This 581-nucleotide ribosomal RNA is filed under the name Salmonella enterica. Its description in RNAcentral is "partial 23S ribosomal RNA". It matches the Rfam family "Bacterial large subunit ribosomal RNA", at positions 609 to 1191 of the family's 2925-position model. RNAcentral also lists the same sequence under 3 other names. Lineage: Bacteria; Pseudomonadati; Pseudomonadota; Gammaproteobacteria; Enterobacterales; Enterobacteriaceae. The record is from RNAcentral.